This 406-nucleotide ribosomal RNA is filed under the name uncultured bacterium. RNAcentral describes it as "partial 16S ribosomal RNA". It matches the Rfam family "Bacterial small subunit ribosomal RNA", at positions 30 to 526 of the family's 1533-position model. The record is from RNAcentral.
AUUGAACGCUGGCGGCAGGCCUAAUACAUGCAAGUCGAACGAGUGGCGGACGGGUGAGUAAUGUCUGGGAAACUGCUUGAUGGAGGGGGAUACCUACUGGAAACGGUAGCUAAUACCGCAUACCAUCAGAUGUGCCCAGAUGGGAUUAGCUUGUUGGUGGGGUAACGGCUCACCAAGUCGACGAUCCCUAGCUGCUCUGAGAGGAUGACCGGCCACACUGGAAAUGAGACACGGUCCAGACUCCUACGGGAGGCAGCAGUAGGGAAUAUUGCACAAUGGGCGCAAGCCUGAUGCAGCCAUGCCGCGUGUAUGAAGAAGGCCUUCGGGUUGUAAAGUACUGUCAGCGGGGAGGCGUUACCUACAGAAAAAGCACCGGCUAACUCCGUGCCAGCAGCCGCGGUAAUUC